GAUGAACGCUGGCGGCGUGCUUAACACAUGCAAGUCGAGCGAAGCACUUGUUUGGAACCCUCCGGGAGGAAAAACAUUUGACUGAGCGGCGGACGGGUGAGUAACGCGUGGGGAACCUGCCUUAUACCGGGGGAUAACAGCUGGAUACGGCUGCUAAUACCGCAUAAGCGCACGGCACCGCAUGGUGCAGUGUGAAAAACUCCGGUGGUAUAAGAUGGACCCGCGUUAGAUUAGCUGGUUGGCGGGGUAACGGCCCACCAAGGCGACGAUCUAUAGCCGGCCUGAGAGGGCGACCGGCCACAUUGGGACUGAGACACGGCCCAAACUCCUACGGGAGGCAGCAGUGGGGAAUAUUGCACAAUGGGCGAAAGCCUGAUGCAGCGACGCCGCGUGAGCGAAGAAGUAUUUCGGUAUGUAAAGCUCUAUCAGCAGGGAAGAAAAUGACGGUACCUGACUAAGAAGCCCCGGCUAACUACGUGCCAGCAGCCGCCGUAA
This 495-nucleotide ribosomal RNA is filed under the name uncultured bacterium. RNAcentral's name for it is "partial 16S ribosomal RNA". It matches the Rfam family "Bacterial small subunit ribosomal RNA", at positions 28 to 523 of the family's 1533-position model. The record is from RNAcentral.